Molecule: long non-coding RNA, 224 nt
Filed under: Lathyrus oleraceus (garden pea)
Lineage: Eukaryota; Viridiplantae; Streptophyta; Magnoliopsida; Fabales; Fabaceae
Description: Pisum sativum (pea) long non-coding RNA (PSAT_LNC036319)
Source: RNAcentral
UGAUUUUUCUUUCUCUUUUUCUCGUGCAUCACGUAUACUCUGGGGGUUAAUUUCACUCUUUUGACUCUUUUUCUACUCAAAUUUUUCGAGCAUUUUGUAGGUGUUAGAGUCUUAAGUCUCGGCAAGUGCAUUUUUUUUCUUUUUCUUUUCUUUUUUUUUUCCUUUUUUUUUCUUUUUUGGACAUACACAAUUCUUUUCUUUUUGUAUCUUCUCUUAUUAUGCAC